GCCUUUAUAGCGUAGUGGUUAAACGCUAUAAAGCCCUACCUUAGCCUAGCAGGGAGCUAGUUUAAACCUGGCUAAAGGCA
Molecule: transfer RNA, 80 nt
Filed under: Metarhizium acridum CQMa 102
Lineage: Eukaryota; Fungi; Ascomycota; Sordariomycetes; Hypocreales; Clavicipitaceae
Description: tRNA-Und (NNN) (tRNA-Und-NNN-1-1)
Source: RNAcentral